Spodoptera frugiperda (fall armyworm) is the source of this 275-nucleotide long non-coding RNA. RefSeq lists it as uncharacterized. Lineage: Eukaryota; Metazoa; Arthropoda; Insecta; Lepidoptera; Noctuidae. The transcript is spliced from 3 exons. The record is from RefSeq and is a predicted model, not a curated record.
UCACAUGUAAACAGCAGCUCAUGUAGUGUAGAUGUCCAGUCAACAAGGAUGUAGCGAGGUUGACUGUCCAGGCGACACACGUACUUAGGUAUCGUCAUGAGCUAAUGUUCACAUGUAAACAGCAGCUCAUGUAGUGUAGAUGUCCAGUCAACAAGGAUGUAGCGAGGUUGACUGUCCGGGCGACAUACGUACUUAGGUAUCGUCAUGAGUUAAUGUUCACAUGUAAACAGCAGCUCAUGUAGUGUAGAUGUCCAGUCAAGAUAGAUCUAAAACUA